RNAcentral lists this unclassified non-coding RNA (220 nucleotides) under Hevea brasiliensis (rubber tree). Lineage: Eukaryota; Viridiplantae; Streptophyta; Magnoliopsida; Malpighiales; Euphorbiaceae. The record is from RNAcentral.
GUGUGACUGGAGAACCCUGCAACUGCUAACACAAGUUAAACCACAGCCCCAAAUAAGGUUUGGACAACCAUUUCUGCAUUGGAAUCAAUGAAAACACAUUACAACUUCUUUUGCUUGACAAUAUGCCACAGUCCAUAACACCAGAGUACAGCUCAUAAGCAUAACUUAAAAUUUUUCUCAAAAAAUUUAAGAUUUUCUGCUUGUGAUACACAGAAUGCUA